GCCCUCGGUGGCUCAGAUGGACAGAGCUCCUGCCUUGUAAGCAGGAGAUCCUGGGUUUGAGUCCCGGUCGGGGCA
This is a non-coding RNA of Schistocerca nitens (vagrant locust), 75 nucleotides long. NCBI's taxonomy places the organism in Eukaryota, Metazoa, Arthropoda, Insecta, Orthoptera, Acrididae. The record is from the annotation of a RefSeq genome assembly.